UCUGGCUUAACAUAUAGUUAAUGUGAAAGAUUGUAAAUCUUUUAAAAGCUUAUAGAAA
Molecule: transfer RNA, 58 nt
Filed under: Anthocephalum grabatum
Lineage: Eukaryota; Metazoa; Platyhelminthes; Cestoda; Rhinebothriidea; Anthocephaliidae
Description: Alveobothrium grabatum tRNA-Tyr
Source: RNAcentral